Molecule: ribosomal RNA, 427 nt
Filed under: uncultured Pseudomonadaceae bacterium
Lineage: Bacteria; Pseudomonadati; Pseudomonadota; Gammaproteobacteria; Pseudomonadales; Pseudomonadaceae
Description: bacterial SSU rRNA
Rfam family: Bacterial small subunit ribosomal RNA
Source: RNAcentral
GGGGAAUAUUGGACAAUGGGGGAAACCCUGAUCCAGCCAUGCCGCGUGUGUGAAGAAGGCCUUCGGGUUGUAAAGCACUUUAAUUUGGGAGGAAGGGCUUACGGUUAAUAACCGCUAAGUUUUGACGUUACCAAAAGAAUAAGCACCGGCUAACUUCGUGCCAGCAGCCGCGGUAAUACGAAGGGUGCGAGCGUUAAUCGGAAUUACUGGGCGUAAAGCGCGCGUAGGUGGUUCAUUAAGUUAGGAGUGAAAGCCCCGGGCUCAACCUGGGAAUUGCUUCUAAAACUGGUGAGCUAGAGUACGGUAGAGGGUGGUGGAAUUUCCUGUGUAGCGGUGAAAUGCGUAGAUAUAGGAAGGAACAUCAGUGGCGAAGGCGACCACCUGGACUGAUACUGACACUGAGGUGCGAAAGCGUGGGGAGCAAACA